Long non-coding RNA from Limulus polyphemus (Atlantic horseshoe crab), 1099 nucleotides. RefSeq lists it as uncharacterized. The transcript has 2 exons. The record is from RefSeq and is a predicted model, not a curated record. NCBI's taxonomy places the organism in Eukaryota, Metazoa, Arthropoda, Merostomata, Xiphosura, Limulidae.
AGGCUUAACGAACUGUUUAAGAAAGAGGCUUAACUGAUUAAGAAAGGAGCAGUUUGGUGGAUUGAAUCAGCGUAGGCAACAUUACUACUUCGUUAAAAUUGUGCUAUACCGAAAAAUUAUACGUUUAUUUUAUAAAAUUGAUGACGACAUAUCAAAAAAACUGAUUUUUUUUUAAAAAGAGCAUCGCAUUUAAACUUUGCUUUUCGUGGUCUUUCUAAGAAAUAUAUAUGUGUAAUAACCUGAAAAACAAAAAUAAGUACUUAACGUUAUAAUUAUAUAAUACCGGAAACGUGUACAGCGAAGAGGUUUAGGGUAUUUAUCAGUUCAUUCGUAAAGAACAGGCAAAUACUGGAACAUUAAUAAUGAACAGAUAAUGAAACUUUUUUUUUGAAAAAAAGGCGAUAAUUUAACGUUAAUAGCAAAGUUAGGUACAUUAAGUAUCAUAGGACACUACGAACAGUAAUGUAAUGUGACACUGAGAAUGCGAACAAAAUGGAACCUUCAGAAUAGGAACAGAAUAGAACGUAUAUUACGGAACUUCAAAAUAGUUUGAUAAAAACAAAACUUAGAAAUAGGCAGAUAAUGAAACGUUAGGAAUGAGAAAAUAAAGAAACUAAAACAAAACUAUAAAUAGGCAGAUAAUGAAACGUUAGGAAUGAGAAAAUAAAGAAACUAAAACAAAACUUAGAAAUAGGCAGAUAAUGAAACGUUAGGAAUGAGAAAAUAAAGAAACUAAAACAAAACUUAGAAAUAGGCAGAUAAUGAAACGUUAGGAAUGAGAAAAUAAAGAAACUAAAACAAAACGGAUAAUGAAACAUGAAAAAUAGAUAGCUAAUGUAACGUUAAGAACAGGUAGAUAUUGGAACGUUAAGAACAGGUAAAUAUUGGAACGUUAAAAACAGGUAGAUAUUGGAACGUUAAGAACAGGUAGAUAUUGGAACGUUAAAAACAGGUAAAUAUUGGAACGUUAAGAACAGGUAGAUAUUGGAACGUUAAGAUCAGGUAGAUAUAGGAACGUUAAGAACAGGUAGAUAUUGGAACGUUAAGAACAGGUAGAUAUUGGAACGUUAAGAACAGGUAAAUAUUGGAACGUUAAGAA